CACUAUGGCGGGCCGGGCGGGGCAGCCGUCAGGCUGGCCGGGCUUCGUUGGUGAUCCGGUACUUCGACCCCCGCUGUCAGGCCCGCCACCCUC
This 93-nucleotide non-coding RNA is filed under the name Cupriavidus taiwanensis. RNAcentral also lists the same sequence under 2 other names. Lineage: Bacteria; Pseudomonadati; Pseudomonadota; Betaproteobacteria; Burkholderiales; Burkholderiaceae. The record is from RNAcentral.